Molecule: ribosomal RNA, 251 nt
Filed under: uncultured prokaryote
Description: partial 16S rRNA
Rfam family: Bacterial small subunit ribosomal RNA
Source: RNAcentral
ACGGAGGAUCCGGGCGUUAUCCGGAAUUACUGGGUUUAAAGGGUGCGUAGGCGGGGCUUUAAGCCGGCGGUGAAAUGGAGGGGCUCAACCGCUGGAAUGCCGUUGGGGCUGGAGCUCUUGGAUACGGUCGGGGCGGGUGGAACGCGUGGUGUAGCGGUGAAAUGCAUAGAUAUCACGAGGAACGCCGGUAGCGAAGGCAGCUCGCCGGGCCGGUAUCGACGCUGAGGCAGGAAAGCGUGGGGAUAGAACAG